Molecule: ribosomal RNA, 467 nt
Filed under: uncultured bacterium
Lineage: Bacteria
Description: partial 16S ribosomal RNA
Rfam family: Bacterial small subunit ribosomal RNA
Source: RNAcentral
GACGAACGCUGGCGGCGUGCUUAACACAUGCAAGUCGAACGGAAAGGCCUCAGCUUGCUGGGGUACUCGAGUGGCGAACGGGUGAGUAACACGUGGGUGAUCUGCCUUGCACUCUGGGAUAAGCUUGGGAAACUGGGUCUAAUACCGGAUAUGAACUGCCGUUAGUGUGGUGGUUGGAAAGUUUUUUCGGUGCAAGAUGAGCUCGCGGCCUAUCAGCUUGUUGGUGGGGUAAUGGCCUACCAAGGCGUCGACGGGUAGCCGGCCUGAGAGGGUGUACGGCCACAUUGGGACUGAGAUACGGCCCAGACUCCUACGGGAGGCAGCAGUGGGGAAUAUUGCACAAUGGGCGGAAGCCUGAUGCAGCGACGCCGCGUGGGGGAUGACGGCCUUCGGGUUGUAAACUCCUUUCGACAGGGACGAAGCUUUUUGUGACGGUACCUGUAUAAGAAGCACCGGCUAACUACGUG